UCUUGCGCAAUGGGCGAAAGCCUGACGCAGCGACGCCGCGUGUGGGAUGAAGGCCUUCGGGUCGUAAACCACUGUCGGGAGGGACGAAAUCAAUGACGGUACCUCCAAAGGAAGCACCGGCUAACUCUGUGCCAGCAGCCGCGGUAAUACAGAGGGUGCGAGCGUUGUCCGGAAUCACUGGGCGUAAAGGGCGCGUAGGCGGCCUGAUAAGUAGGGGGUGAAAUCCUGCGGCUCAACCGCAGGGCUGCCUUCUAGACUGUCAGGCUCGAGCACAGUAGAGGCAGGUGGAAUUCCCGGUGUAGCGGUGGAAUGCGUAGAGAUCGGGAAGAACAUCGGUGGCGAAGGCGGCCUGCUGGGCUGUUGCUGACGCUGAGGCGCGACAGCGUGGGGAGCAAACAGG
RNAcentral lists this ribosomal RNA (400 nucleotides) under uncultured bacterium. RNAcentral's name for it is "bacterial SSU rRNA". It matches the Rfam family "Bacterial small subunit ribosomal RNA", at positions 362 to 776 of the family's 1533-position model. The record is from RNAcentral.